This 393-nucleotide ribosomal RNA is filed under the name uncultured bacterium. RNAcentral describes it as "partial 16S ribosomal RNA". It matches the Rfam family "Bacterial small subunit ribosomal RNA", at positions 523 to 918 of the family's 1533-position model. The record is from RNAcentral.
CUACGGAGGAUGCAAGCGUUAUCCGGAUUUAUUGGGUUUAAAGGGUGCGUAGGCUGUUCGGAAAGUCAGGGGUGAAAGCCCGGCGCUUAACGCCGGAACUGCCUUUGAUACUUCCGAGCUGGAAUACGGAUGCCGUGGGAGGAAUGAGUAGUGUAGCGGUGAAAUGCAUAGAUAUUACUCAGAACACCGAUUGCGAAGGCAUCUCACGAAUCCGUCAUUGACGCUGAGGCACGAAAGCGUGGGGAUCAAACAGGAUUAGAUACCCUGGUAGUCCACGCAGUAAACGAUGAUGACUAACCGUCGGCGAUACACAGUCGGUGGCCAAGCGAAAGCGAUAAGUCAUCCACCUGGGGAGUACGUUCGCAAGAAUGAAACUCAAAUGAAUUGGCGGGG